This 446-nucleotide ribosomal RNA is filed under the name uncultured bacterium. Its description in RNAcentral is "partial 16S ribosomal RNA". It matches the Rfam family "Bacterial small subunit ribosomal RNA", at positions 338 to 795 of the family's 1533-position model. The record is from RNAcentral.
CCUACGGGAGGCAGCAGUCGAGAAUCAUUCACAAUGGGGGAAACCCUGAUGCUGCGACGCCGCGUGGGGGAAUGAAGGUCUUCGGAUUGUAAACCCCUGUAAUGUGGGAGCAAAUUAAAAAGAUAGUACCACAAGAGGAAGAGACGGCUAACUCUGUGACAGCAGCCGCGGUCAUACGGAGGUCGCAAGCGUUGUUCGGAAUCGCUGGGCGUAAAGCGUGCGGAGGCGGUUUCGUAAGUCGUGGGUGAAAGGCCCGGGCUCAACCCGCGGACGGCCCAUGAUACUGCGAGACGAGAGUAGUGGAGGGGGAACCGGAAUUCGCGGUGUAGCGGUGAAAUGCGUAGAUAUCGAGAGGAACACGCGUGGCGAAGGCGGCUUCCUGGACAUUAACUGACGCUGAGGCACGAAGGCGUGGGGAGCGAAAGGGAUUAGAUACCCGAGUAGUC